Molecule: ribosomal RNA, 376 nt
Filed under: uncultured bacterium
Lineage: Bacteria
Description: bacterial SSU rRNA
Rfam family: Bacterial small subunit ribosomal RNA
Source: RNAcentral
UAAUACAGAGGGUGCGAGCGUUAAUCGGAAUUACUGGGCGUAAAGCGCGCGUAGGCGGCUUUGCAAGUCGGGUGUGAAAUCCCCAGGCUUAACCUGGGAACUGCAUUCGAGACUGCAUUGCUAGAGUAUGGGAGAGGGAAGUGGAAUUUCCGGUGUAGCGGUGAAAUGCGUAGAUAUCGGAAGGAACAUCAGUGGCGAAAGCGACUUCCUGGACCAAUACUGACGCUCAUGUGCGAAAGCGUGGGGAGCAAACAGGAUUAGAUACCCUGGUAGUCCACGCCAUAAACGAUGAGGACUAGACGUUGGAGGGGUAAGCCUUUCAGUGUCGUAGCUAACGCGCUAAGUCCUCCGCCUGGGGAGUACGGCCGCAAGGUUG